This 369-nucleotide ribosomal RNA is filed under the name Triticum aestivum (bread wheat). RNAcentral describes it as "partial small subunit ribosomal RNA". The record is from RNAcentral. Lineage: Eukaryota; Viridiplantae; Streptophyta; Magnoliopsida; Poales; Poaceae.
AUGGUUUGGCUUCUCGACGAUGUCUACGACACGAAACACCGGGCCUACAUGAUGCGUGAGGAGAUGAAGCUUGAACCUUUGAAGAUUCGGUAUCACGGGGUCUCUGGUCCUGCCAUGCCUUAUGAUGAGCGGUACACACCGUACAUCAAGCAGGCAGGACUACUCUCGUGGAUUCAGUUGGUCAGCCGGUCCACGCCGAAUCUGAACGCUCCCCUGGUGUCCGCUCUUGCAGAUCGGUGGAGGCCGGAGAUGCAUAGUUUCCAUCUUCGGACUGGAGAGAUGAUUGUGACGCUCGAGGAUGUCUCGUUGAUCACCGGUCUUGCUAUCGACGGGAUGCCUCUCUGUAUGAGCACCGAUUCUGAUGGGUGA